GAUGAACGCUGGCGGCGUGCUUAACACAUGCAAGUCGAACGAAGAAGAGUUGAAUGAGAGCUUCGGCAGGAUUUCUUCUCAUCUUAGUGGCGGACGGGUGAGUAACGUGUGGGCAACCUGCCCUAUACUGGGGAAUAAUCACUGGAAACGGUGACUAAUACCGCAUGUCAUCACCGGAGGGCAUCCUCUGGUGAAAAAAGGAGCAAUUCGGUAUAGGAUGGGCCCGCAUCUGAUUAGGUAGUUGGUGAGGUAACGGCCCACCAAGCCGACGAUCAGUAGCCGACCUGAGAGGGUGAUCGGCCACAUUGGGACUGAGACACGGCCCAAACUCCUACGGGAGGCAGCAGUGGGGAAUAUUGGGCAAUGGGGGAAACCCUGACCCAGCAACGCCGCGUGGAGGAAGAAGGUUUUCGGAUCGUAAACUCCUGUCCUCAGGGAAGAGCAGAAGACGGUACCUGAGGAGGAAGCCCCGGCUAACUACGUG
Molecule: ribosomal RNA, 484 nt
Filed under: uncultured bacterium
Lineage: Bacteria
Description: bacterial SSU rRNA
Rfam family: Bacterial small subunit ribosomal RNA
Source: RNAcentral